This 697-nucleotide ribosomal RNA is filed under the name uncultured Fibrobacterota bacterium. RNAcentral's name for it is "bacterial SSU rRNA". It matches the Rfam family "Bacterial small subunit ribosomal RNA", at positions 490 to 1203 of the family's 1533-position model. Lineage: Bacteria; Pseudomonadati; Fibrobacterota. The record is from RNAcentral.
GGAUCGGCUAACUCCGUGCCAGCAGCCGCGGUAAUACGGAGGAUCCAAGCGUUAUCCGGAAUCAUUGGGUUUAAAGGGUCCGUAGGCGGCUUAAUAAGUCAGUGGUGAAAUCCCUACGCUUAACGUAGGAACGGCCAUUGAUACUGUUAGGCUUGAAUUAUUAGGAAGUAACUAGAAUAUGUAGUGUAGCGGUGAAAUGCUUAGAGAUUACAUGGAAUACCAAUUGCGAAGGCAGGUUACUACUAAUGGAUUGACGCUGAUGGACGAAAGCGUGGGUAGCGAACAGGAUUAGAUACCCUGGUAGUCCACGCCGUAAACCAUGGAUACUAGCUGUUGGGCGCAAGUUCAGUGGCUAAGCGAAAGUGUUAAGUAUCCCACCUGGGGAGUACGUUCGCAAGAAUGAAACUCAAAGGAAUUGACGGGGGCCCGCACAAGCGGUGGAGCAUGUGGUUUAAUUCGAUGAUACGCGAGGAACCUUACCAAGGCUUAAUGUAGAUUGACCGAUUGGAACAGAUCUUUCGCAAGACAAUUACAAGGUGCUGCAUGGUUGUCGUCAGCUCGUGCCGUGAGGUGUCAGGUAAGUCCUAUAACGAGCGCAACCCUGUUGUAGUUGCCAGCGAGUCAAGUCGGGAACUUUAACAAGAACUGCCAGUGCAAACUGUGAGGAAGGUGGGAUGACGUCAAAUAUACGGCCUUA